CGCCAGACUCCUACGGGAGGCAGCAGUGGGGAAUAUUGCACAAUGGGGGAAACCCUGAUGCAGCGACGCCGCGUGAGUGAAGAAGUAUUUCGGUAUGUAAAGCUCUAUCAGCAGGGAAGAAAAUGACGGUACCUGAUUAAGAAGCCCCGGCUAACUACGUGCCAGCAGCCGCGGUAAUACGUAGGGGGCAAGCGUUAUCCGGAUUUACUGGGUGUAAAGGGAGCGUAGACGGCAGCACAAGUCUGGAGUGAAAUGCCGGGGCUUAACCCCGGAACUGCUUUGGAAACUGUGCAGCUAGAGUGCAGGAGAGGUAAGUGGAAUUCCUAGUGUAGCGGUGAAAUGCGUAGAUAUGUGGAAGAACACCGAUGGCGAAGGCAGCCUCCUGGGACGCAACUGACGCUCAUACACGAAAGCGUGGGGAGCAAACAGGAUUAGAUACCCUAGUAGG
This 448-nucleotide ribosomal RNA is filed under the name uncultured bacterium. RNAcentral describes it as "bacterial SSU rRNA". It matches the Rfam family "Bacterial small subunit ribosomal RNA", at positions 329 to 794 of the family's 1533-position model. The record is from RNAcentral.